RNAcentral lists this ribosomal RNA (516 nucleotides) under uncultured bacterium. Its description in RNAcentral is "bacterial SSU rRNA". It matches the Rfam family "Bacterial small subunit ribosomal RNA", at positions 1 to 518 of the family's 1533-position model. The record is from RNAcentral.
GAUCAGUGGCUACAGAACGAACGCUGGCGGCGCGUUUAAGCAUGCAAGUCGAGCGGCAAGGGCCUUCGGGCCCCUAGAGCGGCGGACGGGUGAGUAACGCGUGGACAAUCGUGCCCCCCGGCCCGGGAUAGCCCAGGGAAACCUGGAUUAAUACCGGAUGAGACGGGACCCGCGAUGGCGGGACCCGGGAAAGGCGCUGCGGCGCCGCCGGGGGAUGAGUCUGCGUCCCAUUAGCUAGACGGCGGGGUAACGGCCCACCGUGGCGACGAUGGGUAGCCGGCCUGAGAGGGUGGACGGCCACAUUGGAACUGAGACACGGUCCAGACUCCUACGGGAGGCAGCAGCUAAGAAUCUUCCGCAAUGGGCGAAAGCCUGACGGAGCCGACGCCGCGUGAACGAAGAAGGCCGUGAGGUUGUAAAGUUCUUUUCGGGAGGGGGAACAACCGUGGCAGGGAAUGGCCGCGGGAUGACGUGAAUCCCGGAAUAAGCCCCGGCUAACUACGUGCCAGCCGCAGC